Molecule: ribosomal RNA, 446 nt
Filed under: uncultured bacterium
Lineage: Bacteria
Description: partial 16S ribosomal RNA
Rfam family: Bacterial small subunit ribosomal RNA
Source: RNAcentral
CCUACGGGAGGCAGCAGUCGAGAAUCAUUCACAAUGGGGGAAACCCUGAUGGUGCGACGCCGCGUGGGGGAAUGAAGGUCUUCGGAUUGUAAACCCCUGUCAUGUGGGAGCAAAUUAAAAAGAUAGUACCACAAGAGGAAGAGACGGCUAACUCUGUGCCAGCAGCCGCGGUAAUACAGAGGUCUCAAGCGUUGUUCGGAAUCACGGGGCGUAAAGCGUGCGUAGGCUGUUUCGUAAGUCGUUGGUGAAAGGCGCGGGCCCAACCCGCGGACGGCACAUGAUACUGGGAGGCUAGAGUAAUGGAGGGGGAACCGGAAUUCUCGGUGUAGCAGUGAAAUGCGUAGAUAUCGGGAGGAACACUCGUGGCGAAGGCGGGUUCCUGGACAUUAACUGACGCUGAGGCACGAAGGCCAGGGGAGCGAAAGGGAUUAGAUACCCGAGUAGUC